Molecule: ribosomal RNA, 400 nt
Filed under: uncultured bacterium
Lineage: Bacteria
Description: bacterial SSU rRNA
Rfam family: Bacterial small subunit ribosomal RNA
Source: RNAcentral
GAAUAUUGGACAAUGGGCGAAAGCCUGAUCCAGCCAUGCCGCGUGUGUGAUGAAGGCCUUAGGGUUGUAAAGCUCUUUCAGCGGGGAAGAUAAUGACGGUACCCGCAGAAGAAGCCUCGGCUAACUCCGUGCCAGCAGCCGCGGUAAUACGGAGGAGGCUAGCGUUGUUCGGAAUUACUGGGCGUAAAGCGUGCGUAGGCGGUUUUUUAAGAUGAGUGUGAAAGCCCGGAGCUCAACUCCGGAACUGCGCUCAUGACUGGAAGACUGGAGUCCGAGAGAGGUGAGUGGAAUUCCCAGUGUAGAGGUGAAAUUCGUAGAUAUUGGGAAGAACACCAGUGGCGAAGGCGGCUCACUGGCUCGGUACUGACGCUGAUGCACGAAAGCGUGGGGAGCAAACAGG